This is a non-coding RNA of Plutella xylostella (diamondback moth), 689 nucleotides long. NCBI's taxonomy places the organism in Eukaryota, Metazoa, Arthropoda, Insecta, Lepidoptera, Plutellidae. The record is from RefSeq and is a predicted model, not a curated record.
ACUUUAAAAUGUUUUAUUUAAGUAUCACAAUGUUUUACAUAAUAAUCAACGAAUCAGUCUUCCUCAUCCAGCUUCUACCUGACUAAAAACUUUAGAAAUAACAUAGGAAAUGUAGAACAACAAAUAAUCAAAUAUUUAUUAAAUAAUUAAAGAUAAAAAAAACUAUGUAAUUAGUCAAUUCUUCCACUUCCACUCAUUUUCACCUAUUGAUUAGAUAUCACAGGAAAUUUCUAAAGAUUACGAUUUUAAUAGGUACGCUGUUAAAACUGCAGGAGUGAAGAAAUUGUUUUCAUAGAUGUUAAUGUUGAUUGUUAUUGUUAUUCUUUUUUAUACAAUGACACUAAACACGUUUCGUUACUGCAAUUUUUUUUUACAUUGUUUGAAGAUUUGAAGUUAUUUAUUCCGUGUCAUAGAUUGUAGCAUCUGCGUAGAACGAAAUGUGUUGAUAAAUCUCAAGAAAAGGAGUCGUAUUUCUUCCAUAGACAAAAGAAAAUGAGACCGGAAAUGAUUUAAUUAGCUAUAGAACGUAAAAAAUCCUAAGCGAAAUGUUUCUAGCUUCCUUUUUGAAGGAAUGUCAAAAUACCGACUUAGAAUACCGAUUUGAAGUGUUCUGUGAGAGAUCCCUUAUGGCAUCCUUCAACAAGUGAAGUAGAAUCUUAAGUGAAGGAAAUGACUUAGAAUAUGGGUGU